UGGGGAAUAUUGCGCAAUGGGGGAAACCCUGACGCAGCAACGCCGCGUGAAGGAAGAAGGAUUUCGGUUCGUAAACUUUUGUCUUUGGGGAAGAAUAAAUGACGGUACCCAAGGAGGAAGCCACGGCUAACUACGUGCCAGCAGCCGCGGUAAUACGUAGGUGGCAAGCGUUGUCCGGAUUUACUGGGUGUAAAGGGCGUGUAGGCGGGAAGAUAAGUCAGAUGUGAAAUACCGAGGCUCAACCUCGGGGCUGCAUUUGAAACUGUCUUUCUUGAGUGCAGGAGAGGAAAGCGGAAUUCCUAGUGUAGCGGUGAAAUGCGUAGAUAUUAGGAGGAACACCGGUGGCGAAGGCGGCUUUCUGGACUGUAACUGACGCUGAGGCGCGAAAGCGUGGGGAGCAAACA
RNAcentral lists this ribosomal RNA (404 nucleotides) under uncultured Eubacteriales bacterium. Its description in RNAcentral is "uncultured Clostridiales bacterium partial 16S ribosomal RNA". It matches the Rfam family "Bacterial small subunit ribosomal RNA", at positions 355 to 774 of the family's 1533-position model. Lineage: Bacteria; Bacillati; Bacillota; Clostridia; Eubacteriales. The record is from RNAcentral.